UACGUAGGGGGCAAGCGUUGUCCGGAAUCAUUGGGCGUAAAGCGCGUGUAGGCGGUCCGGUAAGUCCGCUGUGAAAGUCGGGGGCUCAACCCUCGGAUGCCGGUGGAUACUGUCGGGCUUGAGUACGGAAGAGGCGAGUGGAAUUCCUGGUGUAGCGGUGAAAUGCGCAGAUAUCGGGAGGAACACCAGUUGCGAAGGCAGCUCGCUGGGACGUUACUGACGCUGAGACGCGAAAGCGUGGGGAGCAAACAGG
Molecule: ribosomal RNA, 253 nt
Filed under: uncultured bacterium
Lineage: Bacteria
Description: partial 16S ribosomal RNA
Rfam family: Bacterial small subunit ribosomal RNA
Source: RNAcentral